Molecule: long non-coding RNA, 472 nt
Organism: Cyprinus carpio carpio
Lineage: Eukaryota; Metazoa; Chordata; Actinopteri; Cypriniformes; Cyprinidae
Source: Ensembl
GUUGUCCAUAUCGACAUGUAAAUCAUACAAAUUACGUACAAUGUCGCUGGACCGCAGGUCUAAAAGAACCGACGAUCCGGUUCAAAUAAACCGGUUCAUCAGUUCUCGGACAAAGUGAUUCCCGGAAAGGAAUCGACGUCUCAGGGCCUCGAUACAUUUCAAAGUGCGCGCACGCACAGCGAGUGCCGUAGGCUGCGUUAGUGAGAAGAGCACAUGGAUACAUUUGUGAGAAAAAAACUCGUCGAAUGCAGUCUUAUCGAGACGUGUAACGGUUGGAACAAACGUGGAAUCCCUUAACCCAGCAGUCCACAAAACCCCAUCCAUUUGUCAUGGCAAUUUGAAAAUGCCAGCAGAUCAAUCAGACAUUGAUCAUAAUCAAUGGACAGGUCACCGUAGCCACCCGGAUCCAGUCUGUAUCCAGAUCAGAUGGUGGAUCAGCACCUAGAGUUGACCUCUACAGCCCUGAAAGACA